GCAUAUUUUCUUAAAUGAUGAAGGUAUUUCAUGACCAGCAGGAAUGGCCCUUCCUAGAAUGGAUCUAGCAUACAAAGGCUUUACAGACUAUUUAGCAUUCACUGCUCCAUGGUGAAUGAAAAGAGAUGUCACUGUCAAGUUCAGAACAAGAACAGAAGACAGGAGAUGGCAUAGUGAUAUAUGAUGUCCACCAUCUGAUCAUACCAUGCUUCCCUGAGACCAUAAGCCAAACAUAAAGCCUCUCUUCUCAUCAACUAUCUUUGGUCUGGUGCUGUGUUCCAGUGAUACAAAGAUCAGAGUGUCAUCUAUCCAAGGCUGGCCUCAAGUCUCCCGUGGAUGAUAUUGACAGGAUGCUCCUUUUAUAAUCUCCCUAGUUCUGGGUUUGUAGGCCUACACCACCACAACUGUCUUUAAUGUUCAUUUGUAAGUGACAUACUUAUGUAGGAAUAGUGUCCCACUCCUUAAUCUAUUGUUUUCAAGUCAAUGGUUUGUUUGGGUAAUUUCAUAGCAUCUAGUUUUAACAUGUAUAGAUGUCUAAUUAAUGAUGAAGAUAAUGCUCCAAAUACAAGAUUUUUACCUACUACCUCAGAAAAUGAAGCAGACCAAGAAUUUAUUUAAUGAUACAUAUAAGAAAGGGCUGGGGAGAUAGCUCAAGGUUUUAAAAACACUUGCUGUCCAAGCUUGAUGACCAGAGUCCAGAUCCCAAGAACCCAAGUAAAGCUUUGCUCAUGGAGAACAUAUGUCAAUAAUCCCAGUAUGCCUACACCAACUGAAGACAGGGGAAAAAGAGUAGCAAAGCUCACAGGCUAUCUACUCAGUAUUUACAGUGACAAGAGACUCUGUCUCAAGCAGGGUGGAACAAAAGCACCAAUACCUCAAGGUUGUCCUCUGAUUGUCAAGAGUGUACCAUUGCAUGUUCUACAUGCACAU
This is a long non-coding RNA of Jaculus jaculus (lesser Egyptian jerboa), 930 nucleotides long. RefSeq lists it as uncharacterized. The record is from RefSeq and is a predicted model, not a curated record. The transcript is spliced from 4 exons. Lineage: Eukaryota; Metazoa; Chordata; Mammalia; Rodentia; Dipodidae.